This 301-nucleotide ribosomal RNA is filed under the name uncultured bacterium. Its description in RNAcentral is "partial 16S ribosomal RNA". It matches the Rfam family "Bacterial small subunit ribosomal RNA", at positions 509 to 807 of the family's 1533-position model. The record is from RNAcentral.
CAGUCGCCGCGGGAACACAGAGGGUGCGAGCGUUAAUCGGAUUUACUGGGCGUAAAGCGUGCGUAGGCGGCUUUUUAAGUCGGAUGUGAAAUCCCUGAGCUUAACUUAGGAAUUGCAUUCGAUACUGGGAAGCUAGAGUAUGGGAGAGGAUGGUAGAAUUCCAGGUGUAGCGGUGAAAUGCGUAGAGAUCUGGAGGAAUACCAAUGGCGAAGGCAGCCAUCUGGCCUAAUACUGACGCUGAGGUACGAAAGCAUGGGGAGCAAACAGGAUUAGAUACCCCGGUAGUCCCUGUCUCUUAUAC